GUUUUUAUAAAGAAAAAAACGGCUUCUCAGUCAAAAGGGCCAUCGUACCCUCCGUCUAAUUUCUGACUCGGAGAGGAGAAAGUAAGACAGAAAGCAGAAGGAAACCUAAAGAAGCAGACAAGAACACAGCAGUGAGAGAGAGAGACGGAGAGACAGAGCUCUUUUAAACCAACAAUGAGAUGAGGAGAAGAGAUCCGUUCGUCUUCCCCAACUGCUUCGCCGUGGAUUGUAACCGGUUGUUGGCGCUUCUAUGUGUUUGGAAGCUACAUCGCUAGAGUUAGCAUGGGCGAGCCACGGCAGACGGCGCAUCCGAAGCAGCCGGCCGCUUUGAUCGCGACUCUGUCCAACGCCGUUGAGGCCCUUGGGCGGGGCUUCGAUGUCACUGCGGACUCACGACUGCUGUACUGCAAGGGCGCACCGGGAUCCCGCCUCGUUCGGCUCGACGAAGCCGUAUCAUCGGAUUUCGCCGUCUCUGAAUUUGGUGUUGGUCUGGCUGGUGUUCCUGCUGAUGUGGAUAUCGUUAGAGGAAGGCCGGGGCGGGAGACGACUCCGGUCUGUAGCUUCCGAGAGAUGGCAAUUCAUUUCAACAAGAAGUCAUCACUGACAGAAUCAAUACCUCUUGGAAGCUUUAAUUCUAUGUUCAGUUUAACGGGUUCAUGGAAAACUGAUGCAGCAGCAAUAAAAUCCCUGGCAGUGGUGGGUUAUUACAUCCCACUUUUUAAAGCUAAAUUGGUUAAUUUUCAAUUAGUUUUACAAGAUGAUGUGAAGCGUGCUGUUCCACGUGCUUGGGAGCCUUCUUCGUUGGCCAGUUUCAUUGAAAACUUUGGGACACAUAUUAUCACCUCCGUGACUAUUGGUGGUAGAGAUGAAAUAUUUAUCAAGCAGCACCGAUCAUCUCUUUUGCCUCCAUCAGAAAUUGAGAAAUAUGUAAAUGGUAUUGGAGAUCAAAGAUUUUUACUGUUGGAGAAUCAGCUUGGUGAGUUAUCACUGCAGAAUAGCCCUGAGACUCGAACUCAGCCAUCUGACAUUCCACAUCUAAGUGGGAAAGAGGAUGUUACAGUAAUAUUUAGAAGGAGAGGUGGUGAUGACCUUGUUCAGAAUCAUAUUGAUUGGGCAAAAACUGUUGCUUUUGCACCAGAUGUUAUUAACAUGACUUUCAUUCCCAUAGUUUCAUUACUGGAUGAACUGCCUGCAACAAAAUAUCUAGCUCGGGCAAUUGAUCUGUAUUUGGAGUUCAAACCGCCUAUAGAGGAGCUGCAGUAUUUCUUGGAUUUUCAAGUUGAACGAGUUUGGGCUCCGGCUCAAGAUAAUAUUCCUGGUCAUAUGAGGAAGGAGCCAGUGUGCCCUUCACUCCAGUUUAGCUUGAUGGGGCCCAAGCUAUAUGUCAGUUCACACCAGAUAUCUGUAGGUCGUAGGCCAGUCACCGGUCUCAGGCUAUGUCUAGAAGGAAGCAAACAGAAUCGGCUGGCAAUUCAUCUACAGCAUCUCGCUUCUCUCCCAAAAAUUCUUUUACCACACUGGGAUUCUCACAUUGGCAUUGGUCCACCCAAGUGGAAAGGCCCAGAAGAACAAGAUAGCCGCUGGUUCGAACCCAUUAAAUGGAAGAACUUCGCUCAUGUGAGCACCGCGCCCAUCGAACAUACUGAUACCAGCAUAGGCGACCUUUCCGGCGUUUACAUAGUUACAGGCGCUCAACUCGGCGUCUGGGAUUUCGGCGCCAAGAGCGUUCUUCACCUCAAACUUCUCUUCUCUAGAGUUCCUGGUUGCACAAUCAGGAGGUCAGUCUGGGAUCAUAGCCCCAAUCCCUCUUCAAUUGCGAUCGCACAGAAACUGGAUGAUGAUUGUACAACCUCAUCGUCUCCUUCGUCAAGCGAGCAGUCUAGUCUUCUUGGCAAGCUGGCGAAGAUUGUGGACACGACGAAGAUGCUGAAGGGGCCUCAGGACUCACCUGGGCACUGGUUAGUUACUGGAGCCAAGCUGGGAGUGGAGAAAGGGAAGAUUGUUAUUCGAUUAAAGUAUUCCUUGUUGAAUUACUGAAGGAUUCUUGUUGUUGUACUUGGUUCAUCUUGGUGAAGCAUAUUCUUUGCACAGCUGAGAAGUUUUCCUCUUGAUGUAUGCAGCACUUUUCAAAUAAGGAAGUAAGUAUCUUGAGGUUAGAGUUUACCUUGUAUGAGAUCUGGUAAUUGAGGAUGGUCUUUCCAUUUUUUUGUUCAUGUAUUUUAGAGGAAAUUUUAUUCAUUUUAAUUGUUUGUC
This is an RNA transcript of Dendrobium catenatum, 2253 nucleotides long. It is a transcript of the gene named MACPF domain-containing protein CAD1-like, with no coding region annotated. Lineage: Eukaryota; Viridiplantae; Streptophyta; Magnoliopsida; Asparagales; Orchidaceae. The record is from RefSeq and is a predicted model, not a curated record. The transcript is spliced from 8 exons.